This 128-nucleotide ribosomal RNA is filed under the name Glyptostrobus pensilis. RNAcentral's name for it is "partial 18S ribosomal RNA". It matches the Rfam family "Eukaryotic small subunit ribosomal RNA", at positions 1707 to 1831 of the family's 1831-position model. The record is from RNAcentral. Lineage: Eukaryota; Viridiplantae; Streptophyta; Pinopsida; Cupressales; Cupressaceae.
UGUUUGGAUCGCGCCGACGGCGGCAGUUCCUGUCGCCGAUGUCGCAAGAAGUUCAUUGAAACUUAUCAUUUAGAGGAAGGAGAAUUUGUAACAAGGUUACCAUAGGUGAACCUGCGAUAGUAUCAUUG